GACGAACGCUGGCGGCGUGCUUAACACAUGCAAGUCGAACGGAAAGACGCUGCGUUUGUUGGGUGCUCGAGAGGCGAGCGGGUGAGUAACACGUGAGUAACCUGCCCUUGACUUAGGGAUAACUUCAGGGAAAUGGGGCUAAUACCGGAUAUGAGCUCCUGCUGCAUGGUGGUGAAUGGUAAAUUUCGGCGGUUGGGGAUGGACUCGCGGGUUAUCGGCUUGAUGGUGGGGUAGUGGCUGACCAAGGCUUCGACGGGUAGCCGGCCUGAGAGGGGGGCCGGGCCCCGGACGACUGUGGUACGGGCCAGAGCGGUACGGGAGGCAGCAGUGGGGAAUCUUGCACAAUGGGGCCACGCCGGAUGCAGCAACGCCGCGUUCGGGAUGAUGGCCUUCUGGUAGUAAACCGCUUUCGCCUGUACCGAAGCGUGAUUGACGGUACUGUGUAAAGAAGCACCGGCUAACUACGUG
RNAcentral lists this ribosomal RNA (468 nucleotides) under uncultured bacterium. Its description in RNAcentral is "partial 16S ribosomal RNA". It matches the Rfam family "Bacterial small subunit ribosomal RNA", at positions 28 to 507 of the family's 1533-position model. The record is from RNAcentral.